AGAUGAGGUCUGCUUGUCUGGAGUUGGAGAACUGAAUCUGUUUUCAGAAAUUGUGUCUGCUAAAGAGUUGUUAAGUGCUUUGUUAGCAGUGAAGAAAAACUAAAUAUUUGAGCAUCAUCUCAUGCCAGACACGGAUCAUGGAGCUGGAAGGCAGGGUCCGAAGGGCGGCUGCGGAGAGAGGCGCCGUGGAGCUGAAGAAGAAUGAGUUCCAGGGAGAGCUGGAGAAGCAGCGGGAGCAGCUUGACAAAAUCCAGUCCAGCCACAACUUCCAGCUGGAGAGCGUUAACAAGCUGUACCAGGACGAAAAGGCGGUUUUGGUGAAUAACAUCACCACAGGUGAGAGGCUCAUCCGAGUGCUUCAAGACCAGUUAAAGACCCUGCAGAGGAAUUACGGCAGGCUGCAGCAGGAUGUCCUCCAGUUUCAGAAGAACCAGACCAACCUGGAGAGGAAGUUCUCCUAUGACCUGAGCCAGUGCAUCAAUCAGAUGAAGGAGGUGAAGGAACAGUGUGAGGAGCGAAUAGAAGAGGUCACCAAAAAGGGGAAUGAAGCUGUAGCUUCCAGAGACCUGAGUGAAAACAACGACCAGAGACAGCAGCUCCAAGCCCUCAGCGAGCCUCAGCCCAGGCUGCAGGCAGCAGGCCUGCCACGCACAGAGGUGCCACAAGGGAAAGGAAACGUGCUCGGUAACAGCAAGUCCCAGACACCAGCCCCCAGUUCCGAAGUGGUUUUGGAUUCAAAGAGACAAGUUGAGAAAGAGGAAACCAAUGAGAUCCAGGUGGUGAAUGAGGAGGAGCCG
RNAcentral lists this small RNA (797 nucleotides) under Pongo abelii (Sumatran orangutan). Its description in RNAcentral is "processed transcript". Lineage: Eukaryota; Metazoa; Chordata; Mammalia; Primates; Hominidae. The record is from RNAcentral.